RNAcentral lists this ribosomal RNA (744 nucleotides) under Streptomyces sp. AM3-EGY. RNAcentral describes it as "bacterial SSU rRNA". It matches the Rfam family "Bacterial small subunit ribosomal RNA", at positions 1 to 766 of the family's 1533-position model. Lineage: Bacteria; Bacillati; Actinomycetota; Actinomycetes; Kitasatosporales; Streptomycetaceae. The record is from RNAcentral.
UAGAGUUUUGGACCAGGCUCAGGACGAACGCUGGCGGCGUGCUUAACACAUGCAAGUCGAACGAUGAACCGGUUUCGGCCGGGGAUUAGUGGCGAACGGGUGAGUAACACGUGGGCAAUCUGCCCUGCACUCUGGGAUAAGCCCGGGAAACUGGGUCUAAUACCGGAUACGACACUCCGAGGCAUCUUGGGGUGUGGAAAGUUCCGGCGGUGCAGGAUGAGCCCGCGGCCUAUCAGCUUGUUGGUGGGGUAAUGGCCUACCAAGGCGACGACGGGUAGCCGGCCUGAGAGGGUGACCGGCCACACUGGGACUGAGACACGGCCCAGACUCCUACGGGAGGCAGCAGUGGGGAAUAUUGCACAAUGGGCGAAAGCCUGAUGCAGCGACGCCGCGUGAGGGAUGACGGCCUUCGGGUUGUAAACCUCUUUCAGCAGGGAAGAAGCGAAAGUGACGGUACCUGCAGAAGAAGCACCGGCUAACUACGUGCCAGCAGCCGCGGUAAUACGUAGGGUGCGAGCGUUGUCCGGAAUUAUUGGGCGUAAAGAGCUCGUAGGCGGUUUGUCGCGUCGAUUGUGAAAGCCCGGGGCUUAACCCUGGGUCUGCAGUCGAUACGGGCAGGCUAGAGUUCGGCAGGGGAGACUGGAAUUCCUGGUGUAGCGGUGAAAUGCGCAGAUAUCAGGAGGAACACCGGUGGCGAAGGCGGGUCUCUGGGCCGAUACUGACGCUGAGAGCGAAAAGACGGGG